Molecule: non-coding RNA, 1222 nt
Organism: Cinara cedri
Lineage: Eukaryota; Metazoa; Arthropoda; Insecta; Hemiptera; Aphididae
Source: the annotation of a GenBank genome assembly
UUCAAAGCACCGUCAAUCUCGUUGGGCCAGUCGCACACAAUCGCCGCUGAUAGAAUCACAUUUAAUAUAAAUACGAUUUUAUUUUUUUUUCAACAACACCACCAAUCUCUCGGUAUUACUUAUAAAAUACUAAUAUUUAUAUAAAUAUUAUGUACGAUUGUUCAGUGUUUAUACCUAUACAUAAAUAAGUAUUAUAUUUAACAAACUGUAAUAUUUUAAACUACCUACACACUUACAAAUACUGUUAUAAAACACGCAACAGUGACACGAAUACAAAUAUUUUAAGAGCGCAAUGAGCAAUAAAAUCGCACGACUUUAAGUAAGUAGGUACUAUUAUAUUAAUUGUUUUGAAAACUUAAUUAAAAUAGCUAUUAUUACAAUCCUGCAAUUACAAAUUUCACUUGUUUUCGUAAAUAUGUUUAAAUAAUAAUAAUAUUAUGUUGUUAUUCCGUUCGAUGGGUUAUUGUUAAAACUGUGUAGGUUCAUGUACACAACGGCGUAUUUUUAACUUUUUCUGGGUGUGUAUGGACAAUAGUUUAAAUAACAAUUGCGUACAUAAAUUAUGCACUAUGUAUUAUGAUAUAAAUAAGUAUACUAUGUAAAUUUGAAUUGUUUAGUCGCCUAACUAAAACAAACUAUGAUCCAUCAAUAACAAUAAGUUUUUCCGUGCGAUAGUCUUCAUCGUAAAUGUACUUUAUCGCACUAUUUUUAACUACAACUUAGAUACCUACUCGUAUAAUAGCACAGCGACACGAAUAUACAUAAUAUAUGUAAUACAUUUUUUUUUACUUAGCACCCCUGGGCUCCUCCCCACCGCCGUAAAUAUGCCACUGUGUGUACACAUAUAGAUAUUUCAUUUGGACUAUAGAUUAUUGUGUAAACCCGUUGUUUUAUUAUAUUUGUAGGUAUUCUCGUUACAGCAUCAUCGACAAGUUAAGUUUAAUGGUCUACGUACCUAUUGCACCGCCGGAAUUCAGAACAUUGGUAGUCGUAAUUCUAAAACCAUGUUUUGAGAAAAAACGAUUUUAUUAUACGUCUUCAUAAAUACACGCAAAACAAAAAUUAUUUUAACUAUCGUCGUACAAUUAUGGAUUUAUGUUGUUUAUAAAUACAAUUAUACUAUACAAUUUAAAAAAAAUAAAUUAUCUCUUGAUCAACAUGUUCUUUUUUUUGAGUUAAAACGCUGUGAAUAAUAUAUAAUAGAAUAUAUAGUAGAACAAAG